Molecule: ribosomal RNA, 253 nt
Filed under: uncultured bacterium
Lineage: Bacteria
Description: partial 16S ribosomal RNA
Rfam family: Bacterial small subunit ribosomal RNA
Source: RNAcentral
UACGUAGGGUGCAAGCGUUAAUCGGAAUUACUGGGCGUAAAGCGUGCGCAGGCGGUUAUGUAAGACAGGUGUGAAAUCCCCGGGCUUAACCUGGGAACUGCAUUUGUGACUGCAUAGCUAGAGUACGGUAGAGGGGGAUGGAAUUCCGCGUGUAGCAGUGAAAUGCGUAGAUAUGCGGAGGAACACCGGUGGCGAAGGCGGCGACCUGGGUAGAUACUGACGCUGAGGUGCGAAAGCGUGGGGAGCAAACAGG